Long non-coding RNA from Uranotaenia lowii, 959 nucleotides. RefSeq lists it as uncharacterized. The record is from RefSeq and is a predicted model, not a curated record. NCBI's taxonomy places the organism in Eukaryota, Metazoa, Arthropoda, Insecta, Diptera, Culicidae. The transcript is spliced from 3 exons.
UUAACCAGAAUGAACUAUUGAAUUUUAACCAUUUUUAAAGUUCUUGUUGAAAACCAAAAUAAUGGUUGAAAAUUCCAGUACAAACAAAAAUUAUUCGGUUGUUAUGAGCGUUCCGCCAUUGUUUUUUUCGAUUCUCUAGUUGAAUAAUUUUACGCUGCUAUAAAACCUGAAAAGCGAUCACCACGAGCAGUACCGAUGAUAACAAUCCCUUGGACAAUUCCGGCGAUUGGAGGAAACAGUCGGACUUCAUGGUGGAAGCGACGUCCUGAGAUCGCACCAAGUAACAAGAGAACGGUGAGCCGAUCGACGAUAAGAUGUUUCAUCUUUUCCAAGCAUAUCCGCAAUCAACAAUGAGUGAGUUGUUGGUUCCAAUAACCUUCCGGACCACGGAGCAGAAAAAAUAAACAAAACUAUCAGAACUACGCAAAUGCUAUUUAUUUGAUCGAAAAGAUUGUUAUUCAGGCCAAAAUUUAUUAAGGAAAGUUUUUAAAAAGUGACUGCAUAUUAUAGAUAGAAUUGUGGAAAAAAAUAGUUCUGCAAGCGGGGCUCCAACAUGUCUCGGGCUCCAAGGAACCGUCUUUAAAAACCGAGCUCUAGACAAAACAUAGUGGACAUUUUUCAAUUUGCCCCAUUGAAUUCCACCAAAUGGCUAUAGGGAUCAUGCGAUGUCGGUUCCGAGUCGAGUUUCCACUUGUUUCAUUCUCAAUGCUCCGUUAGCCCCAGCAUGUUGUCCAGCCUUCCGGACUCUGGAACUCGAGAAUAGUAGUAAUAAUUUCAUGCAGGCACGCAACUUGGCUUGUUUAAAAUAUCAACAAGUUUCCUAUCUAAGUUUUCGUUAAGGAGAAAUGAUUUAUGUUAUAGCUUUUAACUAAAUACAAUAAAGAAACUAUUCACGUCUAACGGCAUAUCUACUUUAGCCUUCAGUUUUUGUAUUAAAUUCGGAAAUCUUUCAUUUUACU